RNAcentral lists this ribosomal RNA (484 nucleotides) under uncultured bacterium. RNAcentral's name for it is "partial 16S ribosomal RNA". It matches the Rfam family "Bacterial small subunit ribosomal RNA", at positions 30 to 507 of the family's 1533-position model. The record is from RNAcentral.
AUUGAACGCUGGCGGCAGGCCUAACACAUGCAAGUCGAGCGGAUGAAGGGAGCUUUCUCCUGGAUUCAGCGGCGGACGGGUGAGUAAUGCCUAGGAAUCUGCCUGGUAUUGGGGGAUAACGUCCGGAAACGGGCGCUAAUACCACAUACGUCCUGAGGGAGAAAGUGGGGGAUCUUCGGACCUCACGCUAUCAGAUGAGCCUAGGUCGGAUUAGCUAGUUGGUGGGGUAAAGGCCUACCAAGGCGACGAUCCGUAACUGGUCUGAGAGGAUGAUCAGUCACACUGGAACUGAGACACGGUCCAGACUCCUACGGGAGGCAGCAGUGGGGAAUAUUGGACAAUGGGCGAAAGCCUGAUCCAGCCACGCCGCGUGUGUGAAGAAGGUCUUCGGAUUGUAAAGCACUUUAAGUUGGGAGGAAGGGAAGUAAGUUAAUACCUUGCUGUUUUGACGUUACCAACAGAAUAAGCACCGGCUAACUUCGUG